UACGUAGGGGGCAAGCGUUGUCCGGAAUCAUUGGGCGUAAAGCGCGUGUAGGCGGUUCGGUAAGUCGGCUGUGAAAGUCCAGGGCUCAACCCUGGGAUGCCGGUCGAUACUGCCGGACUAGAGUUCGGAAGAGGCGAGUGGAAUUCCCGGUGUAGCGGUGAAAUGCGUAGAUAUCAAGUGGAACACCAGUGGCGAAGGCGAGUCUCUGGACAUUUCCUGACGCUGAGGCACGAAAGCCAGGGGAGCAAACGGG
Molecule: ribosomal RNA, 253 nt
Filed under: uncultured bacterium
Lineage: Bacteria
Description: partial 16S ribosomal RNA
Rfam family: Bacterial small subunit ribosomal RNA
Source: RNAcentral